Molecule: transfer RNA, 73 nt
Filed under: Canis lupus familiaris (dog)
Lineage: Eukaryota; Metazoa; Chordata; Mammalia; Carnivora; Canidae
Also listed under: 1 other name
Source: Rfam by way of RNAcentral
ACCUGGCUGGCUCAGUCGAGGGAGCAUGUGACUCUUGAUCACAGGGUUGUGAGUUUGAGCCCUACCUUGGGUG